RNAcentral lists this ribosomal RNA (425 nucleotides) under uncultured bacterium. RNAcentral's name for it is "bacterial SSU rRNA". It matches the Rfam family "Bacterial small subunit ribosomal RNA", at positions 354 to 796 of the family's 1533-position model. The record is from RNAcentral.
GUGGGGAAUAUUGGACAAUGGGCGAAAGCCUGAUCCAGCCAUGCCGCGUGAGUGAUGAAGGCCUUAGGGUUGUAAAGCUCUUUCAGUAGGGAAGAUAAUGACGGUACCUACAGAAGAAGCCCCGGCUAACUUCGUGCCAGCAGCCGCGGUAAUACGAAGGGGGCUAGCGUUGUUCGGAUUUACUGGGCGUAAAGAGCACGUAGGCGGAUUGGUCAGUUAGAGGUGAAAUCCUGGAGCUCAACUCCAGAACUGCCUUUAAUACUGCCAGUCUAGAGUCCAGAAGAGGUGAGUGGAACUCCUAGUGUAGAGGUGGAAUUCGUAGAUAUUAGGAAGAACACCAGUGGCGAAGGCGGCUCACUGGUCUGGUACUGACGCUGAGGUGCGAAAGCGUGGGGAGCAAACAGGAUUAGAAACCCCUGUAGUCC